UGGUUGUCGUCAGCUCGUGUCGUGAGAUGUUGGGUUAAGUCCCGCAACGAGCGCAACCCUUGUCUUUAGUUACCAUCAUUCAGUUGGGGACUCUAGAGAGACUGCCGGUGAUAAACCGGAGGAAGGUGGGGAUGACGUCAAAUCAUCAUGCCCCUUAUGGCCUGGGCUACAAACGUAAUACAAUGGCGUAUACAAGGGGAUGCGAAAGGGCGACCUGGAGCAAAACUCACAAAGUACGUCUCAGUUCAGAUUGGAGUCUGCAACUCGACUCCAUGAAGGCGGAAUCGCUAGUAAUCGCGGAUCAGCAUGCCGCGGUGAAUACGUUCUCGGGGUUU
RNAcentral lists this ribosomal RNA (335 nucleotides) under uncultured Erysipelothrix sp. RNAcentral's name for it is "bacterial SSU rRNA". It matches the Rfam family "Bacterial small subunit ribosomal RNA", at positions 1046 to 1382 of the family's 1533-position model. Lineage: Bacteria; Bacillati; Bacillota; Erysipelotrichia; Erysipelotrichales; Erysipelotrichaceae. The record is from RNAcentral.